UGUAGUCAUAUGCUUGUCUCAAAGAUUAAGCCAUGCAUGUCUAAGUAUAAGCAAUUAUACCGCGAAACUGCGAAUGGCUCAUUAAAUCAGUUAUCGUUUAUUUGAUAGUACCUUACUACAUGGAUAACCGUGGUAAUUCUAGAGCUAAUACAUGCUAAAAAUCCCGACUUCGGAAGGGAUGUAUUUAUUAGAUUAAAAACCAAUGCCCUUCGGGGCUCUCUGGUGAUUCAUAAUAACUUCUCGAAUCGCACGGCCUUGCGCCGGCGAUGGUUCAUUCAAAUUUCUGCCCUAUCAACUUUCGACGGCUGGGUCUUGGCCAGCCAUGGUGACAACGGGUAACGGAGGGUUAGGGCUCGACCCCGGAGAAGGAGCCUGAGAAACGGCUACUACAUCCAAGGAAGGCAGCAGGCGCGCAAAUUACCCAAUCCCGACUCGGGGAGGUAGUGACAAUAAAUACUGAUACAGGGCUCUUUUGGGUCUUGUAAUUGGAAUGAGUACAAUUUAAAUCCCUUAACGAGGAACAAUUGGAGGGCAAGUCUGAAUCG
This 545-nucleotide ribosomal RNA is filed under the name uncultured eukaryote. RNAcentral's name for it is "SSU rRNA". It matches the Rfam family "Eukaryotic small subunit ribosomal RNA", at positions 21 to 568 of the family's 1831-position model. The record is from RNAcentral.